ACGAAGGGAGCUAGCGUUGUUCGGAAUCACUGGGCGUAAAGCGCACGUAGGCGGACUUGUCAGUCAGGGGUGAAAUCCCGGGGCUCAACCUCGGAACUGCCUCUGAUACAGCAAGUCUUGAGUCCGGAAGAGGUGGGUGGAAUUCCUAGUGUAGAGGUGAAAUGCGUAGAUAUUGGGAGGAACACCAGUGGCGAAGGCGGCUUUCUGGACUGCAUCUGGCGCUGAGGCGCGAAAGCCAGGGGAGCGAACGGGA
This 253-nucleotide ribosomal RNA is filed under the name uncultured prokaryote. Its description in RNAcentral is "partial 16S ribosomal RNA". It matches the Rfam family "Bacterial small subunit ribosomal RNA", at positions 525 to 777 of the family's 1533-position model. The record is from RNAcentral.